AACGAACGCUGGCGGUGUGGAUUAGGCAUGCAAGUCGAACGAGAAAGAUUCCUUCGGGAAUUGAGUACAGUGGCAAACGGGUGAGUAACGCGUGGGGAACCUACCUUUUAAUUGGGGACAACACUUCUAACGAGGUGCUAAUACCGGAUAAGAUCUUUCCGUCGCAUGGCGGAUUGAUGAAAGGCGGCCUCUAUUUAUAAGCCGUCGCUGAAAGAUGGCCCCGCGUCCCAUUAGCUUGUUGGUGAGGUAACGGCCCACCAAGGCAACGAUGGGUAGCCGGCCUUAGCGGGUGACCGGCCACACUGGGACUGAGAUACGGCCCAGACUCCUACGGGUGGCUG
Molecule: ribosomal RNA, 341 nt
Filed under: uncultured Latescibacterota bacterium
Lineage: Bacteria; Pseudomonadati; Candidatus Latescibacterota
Description: bacterial SSU rRNA
Rfam family: Bacterial small subunit ribosomal RNA
Source: RNAcentral